RNAcentral lists this ribosomal RNA (701 nucleotides) under uncultured archaeon. Its description in RNAcentral is "bacterial SSU rRNA". It matches the Rfam family "Archaeal small subunit ribosomal RNA", at positions 220 to 922 of the family's 1478-position model. The record is from RNAcentral.
CCGGAUCAGGUUGUUGGGGAGGGAAUGGUCCACCAAACCUAUAACCGUUACGGGCUUUGAGAGGAGGAGCCCGGAGAUGGGCACUGAGACAAGGGCCCAGGCCCUAUGGGGCGCAGCAGGCGCGAAAACCUCUGCAAUAGGCGAAAGCUUGACAGGGUUACUCUGAGUGAUGCCCGUUAAGGGCAUCUUUUGGCACCUCUAAAAAUGGUGUAGAAUAAGGGGUGGGCAAGUCUGGUGUCAGCCGCCGCGGUAAUACCAGCACCCCGAGUGGUCGGGACGAUUAUUGGGCCUAAAGCAUCCGUAGCUUGUCCUGCAAGUCUUCCGUUAAAUCCACCUGCUCAACAGUUGGGCUGCGGAGGAUACUACAGCGCUAGGAGGCGGGAGAGGCAAGCGGUACUCAUUGGGUAGGGGUAAAAUCCACUGAUCCAUUGAAGACCACCAGUGGCGAAGGCGGCUUGCCAGAACGCGCUCGACGGUGAGGGACGAAAGCUGGGGGAGCAAACCGGAUUAGAUACCCGGGUAGUCCCAGCUGUAAACGAUGCAGACUCGGUGAUGGGCUGGCCUUGUGCCAACCCAGUGCCGCAGGGAAGCCGUUAAGUCUGCCGCCUGGGGAGUACGGUCGCAAGACUGAGACUUAAAGGAAUUGGCGGGGGAGCACCACAAGGGGUGAAGCCUGCGGUUCAAUUGGAGUCAACGCCGGA